GACGAACGCUGGCGGCAUGCCUAAUACAUGCAAGUCGAACGAGAGAUAUUGAGAAGCUUGCUUCUUAAUUGAUCUAGUGGCGAACGGGUGAGUAAUACAUGAAUAAUCUGCCUAUCAGUCUGGGAUAACUACUGGAAACAGUUUGUAAUACCGGAUGUGCACUCAAGAGGCAUCUCUUGAACUGUAAAGUUUAGAUACGCUGAUAGAUGAGUUCAUGGCGCAUUAGCUAGUUGGUAAGGUAACGGCUUACCAAGGCGAUGAUGCGUAGCCGACCUGAGAGGGUGACCGGCCACACUGGGACUGAGACACGGCCCAGACUCCUACGGGAGCAGCAGUAGGGAAUUUUCGGCAAUGGGCGAAAGCCUGACCGAGCGAUGCCGCGUGAGUGAUGAAGGCCUACGGGUUGUAAACUCUGUUGUAAAGGAGAACAAUCAGGAUAGAGUCCUGACUUGACGG
RNAcentral lists this ribosomal RNA (456 nucleotides) under uncultured Erysipelotrichales bacterium. RNAcentral describes it as "bacterial SSU rRNA". It matches the Rfam family "Bacterial small subunit ribosomal RNA", at positions 28 to 475 of the family's 1533-position model. Lineage: Bacteria; Bacillati; Bacillota; Erysipelotrichia; Erysipelotrichales. The record is from RNAcentral.